Molecule: non-coding RNA, 177 nt
Organism: Sporomusa sp. An4
Lineage: Bacteria; Bacillati; Bacillota; Negativicutes; Selenomonadales; Sporomusaceae
Source: Rfam
GCGAAUUUUACAUUCAAAUUGGCAGGAGCAUUACCUGCUAUGGACUGAAUAUCGGCAGACCAUCCCUAAUACUCCGACGUGACUUAAGUAGAUUAUCCUGCUGAGGUACGAAGCUCGGUGAAGACGGCGAAAAGCAGACCUGUGAAGUGGUUAGCGAAGUAGUCGGGGGGCUAUAAA